Molecule: non-coding RNA, 158 nt
Organism: Nicotiana sylvestris (wood tobacco)
Lineage: Eukaryota; Viridiplantae; Streptophyta; Magnoliopsida; Solanales; Solanaceae
Source: Rfam
UCACUUAACUGGACGGGGUCAAUGGGCGAUCAAGAAGGCCUAUGGCCUAGGUUGGUGACCUCCAUUGCACUUUGGAUGGACGCCUGCCUAAGGUAGGCCCAAGUGGUCGAGCCUACGUCAUAUUUUGUGGCAAUGGGGCCUGCGUUCGCGCGGCUAAA